AUAACAGAGGAAAAGUGACACACCAACAUCAAAGAUCUACAGACAGUUCAAAAUUCGUACAAGAAAAUGAAAACACUUCUAGUUUUGACGACACUUGUGAUAGUAGGACACUGCCUACUGGAAGAUAUUUUGGGGAACAUACCGGAAAAUAAAAGAUCGCUCCUCAUGAGAAGAAGUCAUGAAAAUACACUCAACUAUUUGUAUGUGAUAGCUGAUGAUAAUAGGAAUGGCCUUUUAUCUGCUUCAGAGUUGGCUCUAUAUACAAAACCGAAAGACGGUUCGACACCAAUAGAGAAGGCGAGAGAGACUGUUCGACUAUGUGAUACCAAUAAUGAUCGCGAGUUGAGCAAAACAGAAAUGCUGACAUACUUGAAAAGUUUGGAAAAUUGAGGAACGAACGACGUAUUGUAAAAACUAUAUGAUUUUUAUUUCAUAUUAAAGAUGAUCACACAAUA
This is a long non-coding RNA of Mytilus californianus (California mussel), 455 nucleotides long. RefSeq lists it as uncharacterized. The record is from RefSeq and is a predicted model, not a curated record. Lineage: Eukaryota; Metazoa; Mollusca; Bivalvia; Mytilida; Mytilidae. The transcript has 4 exons.